This 87-nucleotide transfer RNA is filed under the name Opitutia bacterium. RNAcentral's name for it is "tRNA-Leu". It matches the Rfam family "tRNA". Rfam says of the family: Transfer RNA (tRNA) molecules are approximately 80 nucleotides in length. Their secondary structure includes four short double-helical elements and three loops (D, anti-codon, and T loops). Lineage: Bacteria; Pseudomonadati; Verrucomicrobiota; Opitutia. The record is from RNAcentral. RNAcentral also lists the same sequence under 1 other name.
GCCCGGAUGGCGGAAUUGGUAGACGCUGCGGACUUAAAAUCCGUUUCCUGCAAAGGAGUGAGGGUUCAAGUCCCUCUCCGGGCACCA